This 274-nucleotide ribosomal RNA is filed under the name uncultured bacterium. RNAcentral's name for it is "partial 16S ribosomal RNA". It matches the Rfam family "Bacterial small subunit ribosomal RNA", at positions 523 to 796 of the family's 1533-position model. The record is from RNAcentral.
AUACGGAGGGUGCAAGCGUUGUCCGGAUUUAUUGGGUUUAAAGGGUACGUAGGUGGAUUCUUAAGUCCGUGGUGAAAGCCCGCAGCUCAACUGCGGAACUGCCAUGGAUACUGGGAAUCUUGAAUUCAGUUGAGGUUGGCGGAAUUUAUGGUGUAGCGGUGAAAUGCAUAGAUACCAUAAAGAACACCUAUUGCGAAGGCAGCUAACUGGACUUGAAUUGACACUGAGGUACGAAAGCGUGGGGAGCGAACAGGAUUAGAUACCCUAGUAGUCC